Molecule: RNA transcript, 1408 nt
Organism: Helianthus annuus (common sunflower)
Lineage: Eukaryota; Viridiplantae; Streptophyta; Magnoliopsida; Asterales; Asteraceae
Gene name: ubiquinol oxidase 2, mitochondrial
Exons: 5
Source: RefSeq, a predicted model, not a curated record
CUUCUCCAAGUAAAAUCAACUGUCACAGAAAAAAAAGAUAUUCACACAAAUUCUCAAUUCACUUACAUUUCCAAUUUUCUUGCAACAAACAUUUUCAAAAGUGUUAUCAACGAAGAUGAUGAGUCGCGGAUCAACAACUGUUGUCCGAUCCGUUCGGCUAUUCUCAACCGGUUCCGUGAUCCGCCCGGUUCGAACCGGUGGAUCUGAAAAGGCGGUGGUGACGUCGUGGAUUAGAUCGUAUUCGGUGGCUGGUGGUCGCAAUGCGAGUACAAUGACGUUGGGGGAGAAAGAAGUGAAAGAACAGCCGGAUAUUAAGGAUACGGUGGCCGGCGGUGGUGCAGCCGCCGGAGGUGAGAAAGAGAAAGAGGUGGUGAGUUAUUGGGGAGUGCAACCGUCGAAAGUUACGAAAGAAGAUGGUACUGAGUGGAAGUGGAAUUGUUUUAGGCCAUGGGAGACGUAUCAAGCGGAUCUGUCGAUUGAUUUGAAGAAGCAUCAUGUUCCGAAGACGUUUUUGGAUAAGUUUGCGUACUGGACUGUUAAGUCGCUCCGAUUGCCUACUGAUAUUUUCUUUCAGAGGAGAUACGGGUGUCGAGCAAUGAUGCUUGAAACCGUGGCUGCGGUUCCUGGAAUGGUUGGAGGAAUGCUUCUUCACUGUAAAUCCCUUAGGCGGUUCGAGCACAGUGGUGGAUGGAUCAAAGCGCUGUUAGAAGAAGCUGAGAAUGAGAGAAUGCACUUAAUGACUUUCAUGGAGGUUGCUAAGCCGAAAUGGUAUGAGCGCGCUCUUGUGUUCACUGUUCAGGGCAUAUUCUUCAAUGCCUACUUUCUUGCGUACCUUGCUUCGCCUAAGUUGGCUCACCGGAUCACUGGGUACCUUGAGGAAGAAGCAAUCCACUCGUACACUGAGUUCUUGAAGGAGCUUGACAAAGGCAACAUAGAAAAUGUUAAGGCGCCAGCCAUUGCUAUUGACUAUUGGCGUCUUCCAGCUGAUUCGACGCUUCGUGAUGUUGUUAUGGUUGUGAGAGCAGAUGAGGCCCAUCAUCGUGAUGUUAAUCACUUUGCUUCGGACAUACAUUACCAAGGACUCGAGCUUAAGGAUUCUCCGGCUCCAAUCGGAUAUCACUGAAGAAGAAAAUCAGUCUUUUAUGCGUAAUAAAGUUGGUUCUAUGAUUACCUUGUAAAGAUUUUAUGUUGGUUUUGGGGUGUUGUACCUGCCUCUAUUUCCAUGAGAUUUGUCUUUCAAGACUGGUUUCGGUUUUGAAUGAGAUCAAAUGGAAGUUUCUAAUUGAGGGUAUAACUUGUGUCUACUGUUGGUUUAAACAACUGAUUGAUGGUAAGUUGUAAGAAAUGGACGACGGAAUUACAAUUGUUGCAACAUUUUCUGUUUGAAAGUGAAGGAUUGGUUUUGCAA